This 705-nucleotide long non-coding RNA is filed under the name Pan troglodytes (chimpanzee). RNAcentral's name for it is "long non-coding RNA NONPTRT007613". The record is from RNAcentral. Lineage: Eukaryota; Metazoa; Chordata; Mammalia; Primates; Hominidae.
CGCCCCAGCGCCGCUGCUGCUCAGACACACCGAAAUAGGAAUGAUUUAAUCCAACGACACCUCCCAGGGCUGCCCAGUCCCGGUUCCGCCAGCUCCUGAGAUUGGGGAGGGGCAGAAUUGGGUGGAACUCGGGCUGGGGGGCGGAAAUGGCCCGAGUGGGAGGGAAGGCGCGGAGUCGGACGCUACCUUGUAACCGAGUUAGAUUUCUGCAGAAGAGGAGGACGAAGGUCGCCCACGGACCCUCGGGUGACCUCGGUGCGGCCUGGUGGCCGGGCACACCCGCGCAUGGACGAGGUCCCUCCCAGGGGUCUCCCUGCAGGGGUCUCCGGGGAGGUAGUGGGCACGUGGGUCCUUAACCUCUCCAUUGCAUCAUCCCCAUCCCGGUGGGUACAGAAGCGCAGCAACCCCGCGGUGCUCCCGGAAGACACCGCGUCUCCAACAUUUACACGGAGAUGCUGCUCGGCUCAGGUCGGGUCCGUACGCUUCCCGAGGUGCGUACUACGCGAGCCACAAACAUCACUACCGAUAUUCCUGGGAAAGUCGGUGCCACAAAUUUGCCAGGGACUAAGCAUCAACUCCCAGUGAGAAAAUCACAUGUGAAGUUGGAAGACACAUGCUGCCCUUCACUUUUCUACGGAGUUCACAUCAGUUUCAGCAAUCCGCGUUCUCAGUUCGCGUUGCCCAGGAGAGGGGGCUCCAUCAUCA